RNAcentral lists this transfer RNA (68 nucleotides) under Macrostemum radiatum. RNAcentral describes it as "tRNA-Ser". Lineage: Eukaryota; Metazoa; Arthropoda; Insecta; Trichoptera; Hydropsychidae. The record is from RNAcentral.
AAUUAAUGAGCUUGUAAUUAAGCAAUAGUUUUGAAAACUUUAGAAAGAAAUAAUAAUUCUAUUAAUUU